AAAAUCCUAAUCAUAUACGUUUAACCAAGUCGUAGCAACCAAGCCUAAUCGCAAAGAACCUUAUUUUCUCAACCUUGCAGCCAUUACAUCUCAACCCUCGCCGCCAUCGCCACCAUCGUUACACCUCGCCGCCAUCGCCACCACUGUCACACCCCGCCGCCAUCGUCACCACCAUCACAACUUCGCGGUCUUCGUCACUCUUGCGUAUGAGCUUCGCGACAUUCUCGACUAUAGAUUUCUCUUGCAAAUUACAGUGUUUUCCUGAUAUUGGAGUCUAUUAUCAAGUUGAAGAAAGCCAAAGAGUUCUGACAUUGUCGCCAUUGCUACUUGGAUAGAGGUGACAGGGUUGCAAUGGAAGAUAAAGUAGAGCAUAAGUUUGAUAUGAAGGCACGACACGAAAACAUUGAAGAAUAUGGAAAAUUGUGUAGGGAGAGGACAAACAAAUCUUUGAUUAAAAAUUGACAGAUAUAGGUUAUUAAAAAUGAUCAUAGACUUCUAAUGAAGCCAAUGCCUGGAAUGGUUGGUUUAAUUUCAUCCAGUUCAAAGUUUUCUGAUGUUGAAGUCUAUUGUCAAGUUGAAGGAGCCAAAGAGUUUUGAAAUUGCUACCUGCAUAGAGAAAAUGGACUAGAGUGAAUAUCAAGAGUUAUAGCACUUCAGUUACAAAGUUCUGGAUUAAAUGGUCAAAUCCCACACAACACUCUUAGUUAACUCAUUGCACUUCAGAAUUUGAGUCUUGAAUGAAUUGUUGCAAAGACAGGAGCAAGAAAAGUUGUUGAUGAAGCAACAAUUGCAACAACAAGGAAAGAAGAUAGAUGAUUUGACAUUGAUAGUAAUCAUAUUAAGUAGUAUUUGUUUUUAUUUUGUUAACUUGGUUAUAUAAUGUAGUUGCUACAUAGUUUUUUUUUGGAUCUUGUUGUAAUUAAUAUUUAGUUAUGAUUUCCAAACAUGAUAUUUAUAAUUAUGAUUUUGGAUUAUGAUUUUGGAUCU
Long non-coding RNA from Cicer arietinum (chickpea), 987 nucleotides. RefSeq lists it as uncharacterized. NCBI's taxonomy places the organism in Eukaryota, Viridiplantae, Streptophyta, Magnoliopsida, Fabales, Fabaceae. The record is from RefSeq and is a predicted model, not a curated record.